RNAcentral lists this ribosomal RNA (253 nucleotides) under uncultured bacterium. RNAcentral describes it as "partial 16S ribosomal RNA". It matches the Rfam family "Bacterial small subunit ribosomal RNA", at positions 524 to 776 of the family's 1533-position model. The record is from RNAcentral.
UACGUAGGUGGCAAGCGUUGUCCGGAUUUACUGGGCGUAAAGAGCGCGCAGGCGGUCGUUCAAGUCGCGUGUGAAAGCCCCCGGCUCAACUGGGGAGGGUCACGCGAUACUGAUCGACUGGAAGGCAGGAGAGGGUAGUGGAAUUCCCGGUGUAGCGGUGGAAUGCGUAGAGAUCGGGAAGAACAUCGGUGGCGAAGGCGGUCUGCUGGGCCGUUGCUGACGCUGAGGCGCGAAAGCAUGGGGAGCGAACAGG